RNAcentral lists this ribosomal RNA (487 nucleotides) under Ahaetulla nasuta (Long-nosed tree snake). Its description in RNAcentral is "partial 16S ribosomal RNA". It matches the Rfam family "Bacterial large subunit ribosomal RNA", at positions 1855 to 2612 of the family's 2925-position model. Lineage: Eukaryota; Metazoa; Chordata; Lepidosauria; Squamata; Colubridae. The record is from RNAcentral.
ACGCCUGCCCAGUGAACAAUUAAACGGCCGCGGUACCCUAACCGUGCAAAGGUAGCAUAAUCAUUUGUCUACUAAUUAUAGACCUGUAUGAAAGGCAAAAUGAGGGCUUAACUGUCUCUUAUAGUAAAUCAAUUAAACUGAUCUCCUAGUAAAAAAGCUAGAAUUCCCACAUAAGACCAGAAGACCCUGUGAAGCUUAAACUAAACUAUUAAACCUAAUAAUAACUACUUUAGGUUGGGGCGACCUUGGAAAAAAGAAUAACUUCCAAAGUACAAUAACAAAACAGGCCAACAAGCCAAUUACAAAAGACCCAGCAACGCUGAAAAUUGAACCAAGUUACUCCAGGGAUAACAGCGCAAUCUUCUUCAAGAGCCCAUAUCAAAAAGAAGGUUUACGACCUCGAUGUUGGAUCAGGACAUCCUAAUGGUGCAGAAGCUAUUAAGGGUUCGUUUGUUCAACGAUUAACAGUCCUACGUGAUCUGAGUUC